Non-coding RNA from Penaeus vannamei (Pacific white shrimp), 183 nucleotides. NCBI's taxonomy places the organism in Eukaryota, Metazoa, Arthropoda, Malacostraca, Decapoda, Penaeidae. The record is from RefSeq and is a predicted model, not a curated record.
UGUGUGUUGUGUGUGUGUGUGUGUGUGUGUGUGUGUGUGUGUGUGUGUGUGUGUUUUACAAAUGUGUUACCAUACACACACACACACACACACACAUAUAUGUAUAUGUGUGUCUGGGUCUUUGUGUGUGUGUGUUUGUAUACACACAUACACACACACACACAUACACAUACACAUACACAU